AAUUAGCUUGGUUUUCUGCGAAAUCUGUUUUAGCAAAUUAUUUAUUUUAUUAUUAGUAGGUAUAGCACUGAAUAUUUUUUUUUCCAUAAAGGGAGUAUUAAUUUACUUAUCUAGAAAAUUUAAUCUCCCAAAGGGUAAAAAAUUAGGGAAAUAAACGGACUUUUUGCGAUAAAGGAUAAAGUCUAAAGGGGAACAGCCCCCAACAGUAAAAAAAAAAGUAGGGGCCCCCAAUUUUUUUUAAGGGGAAAAUUCCAAAAGGUUUUUUUUUUGCAACCCUUAAAGGGGGGGGGAAAAACCCCCCACAGGGGGGGGGGGGGAAAAGCCCCCC
RNAcentral lists this ribosomal RNA (328 nucleotides) under Pneumocystis carinii f. sp. suis. RNAcentral describes it as "partial 16S ribosomal RNA". Lineage: Eukaryota; Fungi; Ascomycota; Pneumocystomycetes; Pneumocystales; Pneumocystaceae. The record is from RNAcentral.